Molecule: long non-coding RNA, 3991 nt
Filed under: Homo sapiens (human)
Lineage: Eukaryota; Metazoa; Chordata; Mammalia; Primates; Hominidae
Description: HSALNT0117268
Source: RNAcentral
AUGGUGUGGGCGGCACGGGGUGCGUGGUCUCCUGCGGUGGGUGGUGUGGGCGGCACGGGGUGCGUGGUCUCCUGCGGUGGGUGGUGUGGGCGGCACGGGGUGCGUGGUCGCCUGUGGUGGGUGGUGUGGGCGGCACGGGGUGCGUGGUCGCCUGUGGUGGGUGUGCGGGGCCUUCUGUGAGGCAGGACAGGCUCUACAUGCACUUCGGCUUCUUGGCAGAUCUGAGCGAAUGAGAACUGCCCUGGGCUUCACUCCCGUUUAACUUUGCAUGAAGAAGAAUGUUCUCCACUCUGACUUUAAGCCAAGUGCUUGUCUAAGUGCUUCUCUGACAGGGAGACAACACUCCUUCCCCGGAGCCUUCCACUGGGCCUGGACAUCUCCCGUCUCUGGGCUCUGAGUUAACUUUGUGAUGCCAGCUCUUUGUGGGGUGUGCGCACGGCUGCAGGUGAGGAGACCUGUGAGAGUCGGAAGCCAGCUGCCACCCCAAAUGAUAAGCACAUUGUAGCUGUCUCUGCAUGGCUUCGUUGCAUGAGGAAAGUCACUACUGUCAAUGCAGGGCUGCUGGUCUCCACCUCGGAACGUGGCAGUGCACAAUCCAUCACUGCCCUGUGUUCGCAGGUCACAGAGAAAAGAAAUGCUUUCUCUAUUCCUUCUCGCAGUUAGUAUUUUGUGAUUAUAGAAAAACUGUGCGUAGUUGGAAGUAGGGAAGGGAAGGAGGGAGGGAGGAAGAAAAACAGAAAGAAAAUAAACCAAAAGAAAAAGAAGGAAGAAACCACCGUAUUUUCAGUUUGCUUCGAAUUAUUAAAGUGGCUCAGGGAAAAAACUUUAAUCUGAAAAUAGUGGCCAACACGAGACAGGACGCCGAUUGCUGCGUGAGUAAGAGGAAGCACCGCAGACCACCGCCGACGAAAUUCUGGAUUUUUUGAGGAGGGAUUUCCUGAAGCGGGUGUUGAAUAUGGGCAUGAAGCCACGAGGCUGAAUCUAGAUGUAUGUUUCACGUUUCUCACAAGAGCUGAUGUUGGUUUUUGAUUGCAAAAGAUGCCCAUUGCAGAAAAACAAAAACAUAUGUGUCAUGAGGAGCCUCAGAAACCUCCCCAAGCCCUCCACACAGAAGUGAUUGUGAGUGCCGCUCCAGACCUCGCCCUAUGGGAUCUAUAGGACCUGUAGACCUAUAGCUGCCUGUAUGAUCCUGUGGGUACAAUCUCCUAAUGUAGGGGGGCUCGGUGUUUGCUGGAUGAGAGCGUGUUCUGUCGGCAGGUGGCAUCCAGUUCUACGGGGUCCUCUGUGGAUGCUAGGGUGCCCGGGAACCAGCAGUUCCACGUUGCAUUUUCCUGGAUGUCCGAGCAGAGCACCCGGGUCAGGCGAGUUCCCAGAAGCUCCUUGCCUUCUCUUCCCUGCAUCAGGAAGGCUGGGGAGGGCGGCUCUGGAUCCUGAGGGGAAGCCACUCGGAUCUCCUGCAGCUGCUCAAGACCACGGCACUGUGACUGUGCUUGCCCAUCUGGAAAGCCUCAGGCGUGCAGGAGCUUGGCUGGGCUCCACAUUUGGACACAGAACCUGCUCCAUCUGAGCUCGUGGCUCUUGGUCAGCCCAGGCUCAGGGAGCCUCUCGACGGGGUGGAAUUUUGGGUUUCACCCACUUGGCUGAUGCUUCCUGCCCUGUGUAAUUGAAUCAAUCCUUUACGUAAAUGCUGUUUCGUAACUGCCCGGGCUUUUCAGGGCCUCUGGGCCCUGGCUGAAAACCUAACUCAGCUCCUGCCUGGGAGGCUUUGCGCGGCAGGCCUGGCUGGUGGGAGGGUUUGGUGCCAGAGGCAUCCGUCGGGUGAGGAGCAGGACCUCCCACGGUGAACAUGGUGGCCACGUCCCCGCAGAGCCCAGCCUACUGAGCUGUCCAGUGAACCCUUGUGCACUUAAGCUAAAACACGCAGCCGUGCCCCCAGGAGGCCGCUUAACACAGAGCAAUAGCCGGGUCCUCGACGAUCCAGCUGCAGAGACAUCACCAAUCCCAGUCUCCCUGGUUCCCGCGUCAGCCUCGCCCUGCCCUGGGCCACGGCUGCACAGCACGUGCCUCCUCACCAACACCACGCGUCACACUCUGCAAGCCCCCGGCCCCUCCACGUGCGAAAGGGGGCUGCUCCUCAGGGUUCUUUGGGCUGUAAGGGUCCCGCCGUCCCCCAGUUUUUGUUGGACAUCUGUGAAGCCCAGCCUUUCCAAGCAGAUGCUGUCCCUCCGCUCCAGCCAGUUCCUCCAGAUGAGGCCAAUGUGUUCCCAAGCAUGUCGGGUCACAUUUCCUGUGUGUUUUGGUCCUGCAAGCAGGACUCUCAUGAAAAUGGCAGAAAGGUCGUCAAACAGCUCCCCUCUUCGCCGCGGCCGUCACAGAUGGAGCUGGAGGCACACGCAUGUGUAUGGCACAAAUGGCCACAUUUGGUUCUGAGAAGCCAUCGCAGAAACUCAAGGGCUGAGGAAGCCAGGCCCUGGCAUUAGAUCUGAUGCAUGAGGGAGAGGCUCAGCAAAGCAGAGGAUGAGUCCCGAGGCCUCGUUUCCUCCAGAAAACCCAUCCCUCCUGCCUGCACCCUCCAGGCUGCUGAACACACCUGCCCAUGACCGCCUGCCCCGGCACUGCCUCGCCGCCCCUCCUCAAGUCUCUCCUUCCUGAGGCAUAAUUUCUGCUUUAGCACAGGGUGGCCCAUGGGGCCCUGCUGGAGUCUAUGUCCGGGAGGGAGCAGACCUCAUGUCCGUUUCCCACACACCCUGCAAGCACCCAUCAAGGCAUCCAGCUGUAACCUGGUACCGAAUAAAUGCUCGACUCCUUCAGAAUCCAUGUUUACUAGGGGGUUAGGUAUAAAAUAAUCGCAGGUAAUAAUCUCAUAGAGUCAAAACUGCCCUUGAGAAUUCCUUAAGAGCCACCAAUCACAGCCUCAAGUUGCAUCUCAACCAUCACAGGAGGCAGUGACCCCCAGGCGGGACCAGAGGCCUUCUCCCAGGAACAUGGUCAGCAGAAGACACUGCCUCCAAACUUCAAAUUCAGGCCCAACACAGGAACACACAGCAGAGGCGCAGCUGAACUGCAUGGAUGGUGCGACUGUGGCCACGCUCCCAGAGCAACACACGGACCCUCCAGGGAGACAGGAGCAGGUACUAGGAGCUCAGAGGGCAGUGCUACAGCCACAGAGGGUGUCACCAAGAAUUAGCAGCGAGAGACCAUCACUCUGUAGGCCAAGCCUGCGCUGAUGCAGGCCGGGGUUUCUCCGCGUUGGCACAGUGGACGCUCUGGGCUGGAUAACCCUUCAUUUCAGGGGGUCUUGAGCACAGCAUGUGUUCCACGCAUCCCUGGCCUCUGCCCACCAGAUGCCAACAGCAUGUCCACUGUCACGAUCGAGUCUCCAGAUGGGGCCCGAUGUGUCAGGGUGGGGGGCGCCCACUGAGGCUUCUGCUUGGCCUUGGGCACCGUGAGGCCCUUUCACUGGGUUGACGGGAGCACUGACCAUUCCAGCCCUGCCUGGGUCCCCACUGGCUCUGCUGACCCCUGGAGCUUCUUCCUCAACCCUGAGCUAUUUCCUCAGUUUGCACCCAGCCUGGGGACCCACCUCGGACCCCUGGACCCGCCCUUGGAGCUCGCCAUUCUUGACAAUGAAAAUUUAGCCUCUGUCCUCUCCGAACUGUGACCUCUGUCCCCCAAAUGGGUCGAACCCCUUCCUGCACUGUGACCUCCGGGCGGGAAGUCAACAGCUUGUCCCCUCCUGGCUGGAACCUCCCUGAGGGCCCCUGCCCUGUGCUGCCUGCUGCCCAGAAGCCGCGUGGAUUCCGGUCCUGAGUUGUUUAAAGCAGGGGCGCAAAGCCAGUCCUCAUCACCCCAUCAUGGCUAGAAGAGGGAAUGUUUAAACAGACGAUGUUUCAUCAAGAAUGUGGGUAAAAUAGUUUGGUCUAUUGUAUUUCAUAGUGUUAGAAAACCAACUUGACUUUAACAAAAAUAAUUAGCUUGGCAAUUAUCACCC